This 2245-nucleotide long non-coding RNA is filed under the name Venturia canescens. RNAcentral's name for it is "uncharacterized LOC122416887". The record is from RNAcentral. Lineage: Eukaryota; Metazoa; Arthropoda; Insecta; Hymenoptera; Ichneumonidae.
AUGCUUAGUUUUGUCGCUCGCGCUGUUGAGUGACGUACAUGACACACCUUGAAAACUUCUCGGAGAUCGGAGACCUUCCGAGGACUCGCGUUACGAGCGACUACGCUCGAAUUCAGAAUCUGGCCCACGUCAACAUUGGACUUAUACCCGACUGAAUAGUUUUCAGAGAACACGGAAAUCAGCGUUCAUGGUAGGAGGUGUCGCGCUGUUGCCGAAAAUAUAGUAAAGAAAAAACGUUGUCGAUGAGGGCCUUGGAGAUGGCGAAGAAACCUGGUGGCCUCGAAAGGAUCAUGGACUUCCUAAGGAAAGGGACUAGGAAGAGGAAAAUGGGCAAUACCAUUAACAUUGGCUUUUUUGUAUUCAGGUGAUACUGAUAAAAUGACAACCACAGAGCAAUAUAGUAUGAGGCUGUGACCCGGUAAACCCGGGACUAUUGCUGUGCAUUCGCUGACCUUUGAAACUUGGAUACCCCCGAACCCAUGUCAACUGUAGGUCGCAGCAGAGGUCCAUAAUUGCGAGAUGCCAUUAACUGCUCGGAUUUGCUACCAACCAUUUAAUCGUCUGACUCCAUUUAUUCAAUUUGUUUAAACAAACAAUGAUGAAAAUUCAAAAUCUUUCAAAAUUGUUGCUAGACUAAUGAUUUAUGCAAGAGAGUAUGUCGGAAACACAAGGAGAUAAUUUAUACACAGAAUUCGAUUGCACAAAUAUCUUUAAUAAGUCAUUUAAACAAUUUUCAGAACGAUUUUGUGGUCUAUUUUUCAAAAAAGUCUAAGAUUCUUGGUUUUAUAAGUCACAAUACUUUUUCGAAGGAACUUUCUUCAGGCUGAAAGGAUCCGAUGGGAAAUAUUGCAAAAUGUAUAUAUCGCUGACCCUUGAAAAAUGGGCUCUUUGUGUAACAUUUUGAAAUGGUUUCCAAGAAGAAAAAAAAACGAUGAAGAACGUUGACGUUGGUGGAUUAAUUUUUUUUCUUGAUUUAUUUUACAAAACGUGCCAGCCUUUUACGUUCCAUGCGUAAUGUACACCUUGCCACAGAGAAUAACAAACUAUUUAGGAUUCUUUAUUUUUUAUUCUUAUAUUUCCAUCUUAUAUUUUCUUACUGUAAAUAUCCUGUGUAUUAUUUUCGGUGAUUCGUAGUUUUAUUAUUUUAUCUUUUUAAUUUUUUAAUGCUCGCGAGAAGAAAAAGAACGUAUUGACGAUCGCGAAUAUAAUUCAAGAUUGCAUGCUGUGACGAACGAAAAUGUGAAUGAAAAAGGGCGAAUCCUUGAUUCUUUGAGCUGUACAAGUGAUGAAAGAACAUCAACAAAUGAUAAUGGUGUGCAGCAAACGAUAAUGUGAAUUCAAUUUUUGCACUCCGGAAUAAAAAUGAAUAAGUUCUCUCAUAAUUUUGAUUUUUUUAUCCAAUUUCAUGAAUUCUUGAAUCAUUUCCUCGUUCCUCAUUUUUUCCUCUGUGUAACUAUGAAUGUAAAUUGUGCUUCUCGUAUCGCUCAUUUCAAUUCAUAGAAGUUUGAGACUCAACCGCUUUUAAAAAGUCUAAAAGGAUUCAACCAUUUCGGUCGAUUCAACCAUUUCAAACGAGAAUUGAUUACUAACAAAAUUCAUUUUUUCACAUUAUUUUUGUUUUUUUUUCCUUUUUAUUUCUGUACAUUUUUCAUAAUUUCCCGUAUUGAUCUUUUCUGAAAACAAAAUUCGAAGAAAAGUAAUAUUGCGAAAAAAAAGUUGUACGAAUGCCCAGCAAAGAUUAUUUUGUUCGAAAAGUGUGUUAAUGAGAUCUGAAAAACGUUAUUCUGGCAUUUUUGCAUCUGGCGAUGUAUGCAAAGUUCAAGGAUGGUUGAUUUUUUUUCAGUUUUCUGUACAAAUACAAAUAUUUCAACUCUAGUAGAAUAGAACAUUUGACUGAGAAACUUAUUUUUGACGUUGGAAUUUAAAAUCAAUGGAAACGAAUAGGAGCAACAAUAAAAAAGCCUGUAAAGCGUUUGGAAAUCUAUCAAAUGCGAACAAAAACAAUAAUUCAUUUUCACAAUAAUUUCUUUUUUUUUAAUGUUCAAAUCGCAGCAGGAUCAUCACGAAGUUUUUCGAUCUGAUUAAAUUUUCUUUUUGAAUUCCUGCCAGAAUCGAGUACCCGAAUCUCAGUCACAUUCGAAACUAAGAAUUCGAGUUCGAAUCUCAUAAAAAAAAACGAAAAAUUACAAUGGUUGUUACAAUAAAAAUAAUUUCAAAAUCUAUGAAAUAAACGGAUUCUUAUCUA